Anolis carolinensis (green anole) is the source of this 991-nucleotide long non-coding RNA. RefSeq lists it as uncharacterized. Lineage: Eukaryota; Metazoa; Chordata; Lepidosauria; Squamata; Anolidae. The transcript is spliced from 2 exons. The record is from RefSeq and is a predicted model, not a curated record.
UUGUGGCUGGUUCCAUUCCGGAACUGGUCCACCUGUUCUAACAGACCCAAAGGCGAAGGAUAGUCAGAAUUCUGGGCCAGAAUUCAGACUAUCCUCCCAACCUUAGCUAAUGCGGGGCAAGGCUGUGUUAAGAUGAUUUUGCCCCAUGUUAUCCUGGAUUGGCUCUGUGCAGUGUUUGACUGCCACAAAGUUGAUCAGGCCCUACACCAACCUAAGUAGUCAGGGUAGAUAUGCCCUAUGUUUAACUUAAUUGUUAUACAGUUGACUCUCCAUUUUUGUAGGUUUAAUCUGCAAAAUUGAUGAAACAUUGAUUAUUUGCAGCCACCAGAUACCGUUUUUAAUAUGGACUGCAAGCCUUACCAGACUGCAAAGGCACAACGAGGCUUGUAAAUGAUGUAGGGCAGCAGUGGAGAUGGCGGGUAGGUGGAAGCAAGCCCAGAUGGAUAGGAGAGCCAGGAGGGUGGCACUCCCUGGUCCCUUUUGCUCAUAUCUGCCAAGAAAGAACAAGGGAAAGAGCUGUUUGGCCAAAGAAUUUUCAAUACAUGCUGUUUUAUCAAAAGCUCAGUUCAAAACAAACAGCAGAAAGAAGCAAGCCAGCCAAAAUUAACAGUCCAAAGCCAAGAAGCCAGAUGCAGGAGUCCUUGAAGGUCAAGCUGGAAUAUCUACAAGUCAAGUCAAAAAUCAGAAGCACAGAAUUCAAACAACAAACAGGGACCUGUGAGCCAAUGCCAAGAUUCAAAGUCCAAUUCGCCAGAGAAGCAGCAGAGUCAAGUCAGAAACAAACAAAAGCCAAGAUCACAAUCCAGGGUCAGAAAUCCUGGCAUCCAAAAAGCAGCAGAGUCAAGUUCCAAGCCAAGAAAUGAUGACAUUAGCCAAGGUCACAUUUCAGAGCCAGAAAUGCCGGGAGUCAGAGGAGCAGCAGAGUUAGGAUUCAAGAAAAUUAUAACAAUGAUGUCUGCCACAAUAAAACCUCACACCGAGAACCUUUCUA